UCCCGCCCCGCCGGCCGGGCAGGCAGCGGGGUGGGGCCUGCCCGGGCUGUGGCCCUGCCCCCAGAGGCGGGGAGAGCCACGAUGCCCGCCCUCUGGAGCGACCCGCGAGGAGGCGGUGGCGGGAACUCGAGGGCUGCGGGCAGCCGUGAGAAAGCUUUCGGGGAAGAAGGCGGGAACUUCCUUUACUUACCUGGCCUCUGAGGUGACUGUUCCUACCAAGCGUCUCCAGAAGCGGGCAGCGUGGUGUGGGCAGCCACCCCUGCCCUCCAUUUCAGCUUCCUAAUCUGGACCCUCGGUUUUCAUCCGAGUUUUCUCGCGACAGGAAAGAGCUUCCACCCUCAGGCUGCGCAUGGAGCCCUGGGCCAAAUGGGGGCAGUCUGGUACAAUACUGCCUGCUAACAACUGCAAUACAGAAAAUAGCGGUUGUGCUGCAAAGGUCUCCUUGGGCAAAGAUGAGACCUGUGGAAUAAAUAACAGCAACCUGCAAAACCACAACCUAUCCAGACUGAUCUCUUGGUUAAAUCAAGCAUCCAUAUACAGUCCUAUCAUGUAGACUGUAUGGUAGUAUUGGCCCACAAACUCCUUUAUUUGAACUCUCCUGUUCCUUUGAGGAAAUUCACCCUCAAUGAUUGGUAUUUCCUGGAAACCUGUGACCACAGAAUGCUUCUUGAUACAGCUGGAUCCAACAUGCAACUGGGAAAGAUAGCUACUGUUUCUCUACAGUCUUGCCAAAAGUGCUCAAGAAAAAACAAGUUAACAGUCAACAGAGAUACCCAGUUGUGCAUAUGACAAUACCAUCUCUAUCCAUGUAGCUGGGAUGUCUGAAAAAGAAAUGAGAAUAAAGAGGAAGGGGAAGCUUACUACUUGAACCUCAGAAGCUCUGAAUAUUUGUUAGUUUUAUCCUGAUGAUCAUCUCUGCUGUCAUUGGCUGUAUCUGCAAAAAAGCUGAUUAUCUCCAUGACCUGAAUAACCACAAUCCUGAAACGGACUUUUUCCAUGCAGUAGGGAUACUUUAAGAGUCUUUGCUGGUACAGAGAAGAACAUAGAGGAAACAGGUGUAGGAAACAGUGACAAGGUAUACACAUCUAUCUCAUUUCAGUGUCCCAUGAAAAACGGCAGCUGUAUUAUUGCCCUUAGCCCUGGUGAUGGUAAUGCUGUAGUAGAAUUGCUAGUGUCAUCAAAAUAGAUGGAAUAAUGCUGAAAUUUAUAAGGCUAUGGAAAAGCGAUGUCUUCUGGUCUUACAGUACCAGCAGUUCCUCCAGUCCUUAGUACCUGCAAAGCUGAACUGGUAAGAAAAGAGCUGUUAUUUGUAAUACAUAUCAUAACAGAAAGAGUGGUGAAUUACGAGUUUAGGGAACAGAAGACUCAUCUCCAUCCUAUUCUAGAUUGUAGGCUUAACUGAGCUCCAGUUUAUAUUUCACCUGUUUGUUUCCAACAAUGUUCUAGGUAUUUCUCAAAUUUUCCUCUGUCUUGUAACAGUCUUCCUAACCUUUCAGACAUACAAGCCCUUCUUCAACUCAAAUGCUUCAAAAUAGAAGCAUUAAACUUCAAAACUAAAUACAAAUUUAGGGUUUAGUGUCUAGGUAAAAAUAUUUGAUACAUCUGGAUUAGAGGGCAAUUUUGCUGGUAAAGGAAGUGGGGAGGUGUCAUGAAAAAGGUGGCAUUAUAGGUAUUUUACAGAAAAAGCUAGAGACGUGUACCUUAUAGACUCUGGAACUCACAGAGGUUAAUUGUGGGGAGGAGGGCAGAUUAAGCUCUGGCAUAAACCAAAUUACCUGUACUAAGCACUGUAUUGGUGUCUAGCUCAGAUACUGGUUUUACUUCCUAGACUCAUGUUUGGAAGGUAUAUGGUAGUUUCUUUUGAGGAUCAGGUGUGAGAUCAAGUAUAAGGAGGCUGAAGUUGGUUUCAAGGAAAUCCGGUAAGUCUGUUUUCAUGAGAUUUGUUAUUACUGGCCAACUAUAAAGCAGAAUUAGCAAAGUAACUGGCUAAAAACCAAUGAGCCAGUUACUGAGGACAGUAACUGCUGAGAAGCACAGUCUGCACGAGAUGAGAACGAGCUGCCGAGCAAGUACCUUGACAUGAAACAUGUAGCUUAAGUGCCUGAGUUACUCAGUAAGCCAAAGGAAGAACAGAACAUGCUUCCUGUAUGAAAGUGGCAGGGAUUUGUGGCUCCAGGUCAUAUGACCUUAAUUUGUACCCUGUGCUGCAACUUUUAAAUAAAAUUUAACUCAAUUUCAAGGUAAAAAUAUAUAUUAUGGGAUGGUCCAAGCAAUUUCUUCUGCUUCCAAUUUCUAUGACUUACUGUUCCAACAGAAACAAAUUUUAUGCACUCCCUCCAAGUUGUCAAUCUCUCUCUUAUACUGGGUGGCCCAAAACUUGGCACAGAAUUCCAGAUAUGGCCUCGCAAGUGCCAAGUAGAGGGGAGUAAUCAUUCCUCUUGAUCUGCUGUCUGUAAAUGUCUUGCUAAUGCAGCCCAGUCUGUUAAGCUUUCUGUUAGCUUUCUGCUAGCCUUCAUCGCUGCAAGGGCCCUUUGCCAAUUCAUGCUUGACUUGUCCAUAGGACACCCAAACCCUUUUUGCACAGCUGCUACUUAAGUUUUCAGUCUCCAUCCUGUACUGAUUUAUGCAGUUACUCCGUCUCAGGUGCAGGAUUGUGCAUUUGGCUUUGCUGAAUUUUAUGAUGCGCCUGUUAGCCCAUUCCUCCAGCCUGUUGAGGUCCUGCCUUGCAUUUCAAGUUGGACCAUUACUCUGCUUUUAGUUUGUCCUUAAAGAUCAGCCAGCUCUCCUGGACUCCUUUGCAAUUCAGGACGGCCUCCCAAGAUAUCUUGCCUACUAGAAGGAGCCAAGUCUGCUCCCCUAAAGUCUGAGCCUGUAGUCUGCUCCAUCUCUUUCUCACUUCCAUAACAUGAAGGCCUGUUUGUGAAACACGUCCUGUUUGCCUUGUACCCAGAUAUACCACAGAACUGCUUGAUUCAAAGUAAGAAAUAUUUUGUAAUGCCUGUUUGCUUUCCUUAGUUGCAAGAAGACCAAGAACUGAAGAUAGCAGCGAUUGUAGCCAACAACUCAGCAUCAGAAUCAUAGUAUCAUAUAUCUAAUAAAGCUUGACUAAUGUUUGA
Molecule: long non-coding RNA, 3116 nt
Organism: Grus americana (Whooping crane)
Lineage: Eukaryota; Metazoa; Chordata; Aves; Gruiformes; Gruidae
Exons: 2
Source: RefSeq, a predicted model, not a curated record